This 253-nucleotide ribosomal RNA is filed under the name uncultured bacterium. RNAcentral describes it as "partial 16S ribosomal RNA". It matches the Rfam family "Bacterial small subunit ribosomal RNA", at positions 524 to 776 of the family's 1533-position model. The record is from RNAcentral.
UACGUAGGGUGCGAGCGUUGUCCGGAUUUAUUGGGCGUAAAGAGCUCGUAGGCGGUUUGUCGCGUCGGCCGUGAAAUCUCCACGCUUAACGUGGAGCGUGCGGUCGAUACGGGCAGACUUGAGUUCGGUAGGGGAGACUGGAAUUCCUGGUGUAGCGGUGAAAUGCGCAGAUAUCAGGAGGAACACCGAUGGCGAAGGCGGGUCUCUGGGCCGAUACUGACGCUGAGGAGCGAAAGCGUGGGGAGCGAACAGG